Myotis brandtii (Brandt's bat) is the source of this 89-nucleotide long non-coding RNA. RefSeq lists it as uncharacterized. The transcript has 4 exons. The record is from RefSeq and is a predicted model, not a curated record. NCBI's taxonomy places the organism in Eukaryota, Metazoa, Chordata, Mammalia, Chiroptera, Vespertilionidae.
AGUUCCUGUUUGUCCACAUCCUCUCCAGUACUUGUCCUUUGUCGAUUUGUUGAUGACAGCCAUUCUGACAGGUGUGAGAUCAUACCUCA